Molecule: long non-coding RNA, 245 nt
Filed under: Brachypodium distachyon (stiff brome)
Lineage: Eukaryota; Viridiplantae; Streptophyta; Magnoliopsida; Poales; Poaceae
Description: long non-coding RNA (BDIS_LNC003407)
Source: RNAcentral
CAAAUCUAAAAUAGAGAACUCAACAUUUCAAAAAUAUCAUGGUAAGCUAUGCUAAUCUAUCCAUAGCCACCAGAUCAGGCUAUAAUCUAUACAAAACAACAUAAGAACAGAAAACUCAAUUGUCAAGACAUUAAUAUAGACAAGCUCAACAUGGUACUCCAUUAACGUAGACAAGCUCAACAUGACAGAGAUCACAGUAGAUACUCCAUUUUCAAGUCAUUUUUACUCCAUUAAUAUAGACAGGC